RNAcentral lists this unclassified non-coding RNA (328 nucleotides) under Basidiomycota sp. RNAcentral describes it as "partial contains small subunit ribosomal RNA, internal transcribed spacer 1, and 5.8S ribosomal RNA". The stretch from base 1 to 47 matches the Rfam family "Eukaryotic small subunit ribosomal RNA", at positions 1785 to 1831 of the family's 1831-position model. Lineage: Eukaryota; Fungi; Basidiomycota. The record is from RNAcentral.
AAAGUCGUAACAAGGUUUCCGUAGGUGAACCUGCGGAAGGAUCAUUAUUGAACUAAGUCGGAUUCGAUGCUGGCCCUUAACCCGGGCAUGUGCUCGUCCUUCAUUUUUCUAACCUUCUUUAUGUGCACAUUUGUAUGCCCCUGAGUAACGAGCGCCUCUCGCAGCAAUGCGGUUUGCUUGGGACUGACGGCCUGGUCGUCUUUCCUGCAAUGCUCUCUGGGGGCUACGUUUUUAUAUACAAGUCAGUUAUAGAAUGUCUUUUAAUGACUGUUGCCUAGCGCAUGGUCUUAAACAAUUACAACUUUCAGCAACGGAUCUCUUGGCUCUC